CCUACGGGGGGCAGCAGUGGGGAAUAUUGGGCAAUGGGCGCAAGCCUGACCCAGCAACGCCGCGUGAAGGAAGAAGGCUUUCGGGGUGUAAACUUCUUUUCUCAUGGACGAAGCAAGUGACGGUACCUGAGGAAUAAGCCACGGCUAAAUACGUGCCAGCAGCCGCGGUAAUACGUAGGUGGCAAGCGUUAUCCGGAUUUACUGGGUGUAAAGGGCGUGUAGGCGGGGACGCAAGUCAGAUGUGAAAACCACGGGCUCAACCGGUAGCCUGCAUUUGAAACUGUGUUUCUUGAGUACUGUCGAGGCAGACGGAAUCCCUAGUGUAGCGGUGAAAUGCGUAGAUAUUAGGAGGAACACCAGUGGCGAAGGCGGUCUGCUGGACAGAAACUGACGCUGAGGCGCGAAAGCGUGGGGAGCAAACAGGAUUAGAUACCCCAGUAGUC
RNAcentral lists this ribosomal RNA (443 nucleotides) under uncultured bacterium. RNAcentral describes it as "partial 16S ribosomal RNA". It matches the Rfam family "Bacterial small subunit ribosomal RNA", at positions 338 to 795 of the family's 1533-position model. The record is from RNAcentral.